UGAUGGGUGUCGGUUUCAAUAAUUGGUGGAGAAAUAGCAAGUGUUGAUUGAAACUAAAGUGGUAGGGUUUUGAAUAGGUGGAGAAUUGAGAGGUUUGUGAUGAGAAUGAGAGGAUGAAAUUAGGGUUUAGAGAGUACACGAGAAACCAUCCACACACGCUUCCUUCCGUUGGUAAAAUGCUACCUUUACAUGUAGAUAGAUAGAUAUGGAGUAAGGACGAAAGCUGGUAAGAAGCAAUCAUCAGAAGAUGCUGUUGUCAAAAAAAUGCACAUUCUGCAGGAGCUU
RNAcentral lists this long non-coding RNA (285 nucleotides) under Helianthus annuus (common sunflower). Its description in RNAcentral is "sRNA HanXRQr2_Chr13g0616111". Lineage: Eukaryota; Viridiplantae; Streptophyta; Magnoliopsida; Asterales; Asteraceae. The record is from RNAcentral.